This 465-nucleotide ribosomal RNA is filed under the name uncultured bacterium. RNAcentral's name for it is "partial 16S ribosomal RNA". It matches the Rfam family "Bacterial small subunit ribosomal RNA", at positions 28 to 507 of the family's 1533-position model. The record is from RNAcentral.
GACGAACGCUGGCGGCGUGCUUAACACAUGCAAGUCGAACGGAAAGGCCCCUUUGGGGGUACUCGAGUGGCGAACGGGUGAGCAACACGUGAGUAACCUGCCCUUGACUUCGGGAUAACUUCAGGAAACUGGGGCUAAUACCGGAUAGGAAUCCUUGCUGCAUGGUGGGGGUUGGAAAGCUUCGGCGGUUUUGGAUGGACUCGCGGCUUAUCAGCUUGUUGGUGGGGUAGUGGCUUACCAAGGCUUUGACGGGUAGCCGGCCUGAGAGGGCGACCGGCCACAUUGGGACUGAGAUACGGCCCAGACUCCUACGGGAGGCAGCAGUGGGGAAUAUUGCACAAUGGGCGGAAGCCUGAUGCAGCAACGCCGCGUGCGGGAUGACGGCCUUCGGGUUGUAAACCGCUUUCAGCAGGGGCGAAGCUUGUGGUGACGGUACCUGCAGAAGAAGCACCGGCUAACUACGUG